Molecule: ribosomal RNA, 303 nt
Filed under: uncultured bacterium
Lineage: Bacteria
Description: partial 16S ribosomal RNA
Rfam family: Bacterial small subunit ribosomal RNA
Source: RNAcentral
AGCAGUCGCCACGGGAAUACGAAGGGGGCUAGCGUUGUUCGGAAUUACUGGGCGUAAAGCGCACGUAGGCGGAUAUUUAAGUCAGGGGUGAAAUCCCAGAGCUCAACUCUGGAACUGCCUUUGAUACUGGGUAUCUUGAGUAUGGAAGAGGUGAGUGGAAUUCCGAGUGUAGAGGUGAAAUUCGUAGAUAUUCGGAGGAACACCAGUGGCGAAGGCGGCUCACUGGUCCAUUACUGACGCUGAGGUGCGAAAGCGUGGGGAGCAAACAGGAUUAGAUACCCCUGUAGUCCCUGUCUCUUAUAC